This 253-nucleotide ribosomal RNA is filed under the name uncultured bacterium. Its description in RNAcentral is "partial 16S ribosomal RNA". It matches the Rfam family "Bacterial small subunit ribosomal RNA", at positions 524 to 776 of the family's 1533-position model. The record is from RNAcentral.
UACGAACCGUGCGAACGUUGUUCGGAUUCAUUGGGCGUAAAGGGUGCGUAGGUGGCGCUGUAAGUCGGGUGUGAAAUUUCGGAGCUUAACUCCGAAACUGCAUUCGAUACUGCGGUGCUUGAGGACUGGAGAGGAGACUGGAAUUCAUGGUGUAGCAGUGAAAUGCGUAGAGAUCAUGAGGAAGACCAGUGGCGAAGGCGGGUCUCUGGACAGUUCCUGACACUGAGGCACGAAGGCCAGGGGAGCAAACGGG